This is a long non-coding RNA of Carya illinoinensis, 4921 nucleotides long. RefSeq lists it as uncharacterized. Lineage: Eukaryota; Viridiplantae; Streptophyta; Magnoliopsida; Fagales; Juglandaceae. The record is from RefSeq and is a predicted model, not a curated record. The transcript is spliced from 9 exons.
CCCACCCCCAACGUCUCUCCUUCCCCCUCUGUAAUCGUUUCCUCUCGAUUUUUCUCUCCACAUCUCUCUGCCGUCACUGCCCUUACACGCCAGAUUACCGCACUUCGCCGUCGUCGCUCAACCACCGCUCUGCCACCCAUACCGAACUACGGCAACAACCCCUGCUUUACACCACAGAAAACAGAGCAGCGCUCCUUUCAUCCACCGCAAACCUCCCAGUCGCACCUUCUCGUUGAAUCCACACCACGACAAUCCCAGACUUAACCACCACCCCACAUCAUCCGAAACCCAGCACCACGCCUCCACCAUUGUUGCCUCCGUUCUAAGCAAGGAAAAACAGAGCACGGUUGUUUUCCUCAAAGCACGGCAAACCAACGACAGCAACACCCUUCAGCCGUCCAGCACUGAAACGGCACCACCACGUCGGAACCACUGUGGAAGAAGAUGUUAUGCAUGCUUUCGGAGGGAGACAUGAACCAGAAGCAAGAAAAGGAAACGAUCGAUUGGGGGUUUUCCGAAAUCAAGGCUCUGCAGGGGUCUGCACUCAUUGAUAAGAAGCGUAUCAAGAAAAUCAGAUUUGCUGCUGUUGUUCAGUCGGCAGAGGGGUUCAGUGCAGAGGAAGCCAGCACGUACGAUAUAUUAUGUGCUGUUUCUUUCUCUUCUAAUGGUUUGAGCUUCCGUCUGGAGGAAACAUGACUGUUCCUUUUGCAAGGCUGUUCAUGAGCGGUUUGGAGGAAAGUCUGCAUGUUCCAUUCUUAUUAGUUGCAGUUUUGUGUUUUCUGUCUUCUCUUGGUUUCUUUGGCCUAACUCUUUUGUUUCUUUAAUCUUUUUGGAGGUCAAGUACGGAGCAAAUUUGAGUGUUCUUUUCUAAUGGUCUUCGUCUACUGUCGGGAGAGUAUCUGUCCGUGUUUUAUUUUCUACCGACUCAUUUCAUGCGUGUGGUUUUCUCCCUUCAGUUUUUGGCCUUAUUUUAUGUCAUCUCUGAUCUUGAAUUCUCUGUUGUGGUUGCCAUGCUCUUCUUUUGUUUGGAGAGGUUGAAAGCAUGGGAUUGACUGAGAUGAGUACGUAGGACUGCAGGUGAUGAGAUGAUUUAUUUGUUUCUCUUCGUAUGAUUCAAGCUUCAUGUGGGGUUAUCAUGGUUGAUGCCUGAUGGAAUCGUAAGUUUUUGAAGCUAGAUUAGAUCAUUUGUUUAUUGCCAAUUUGGGUCUAUUAGAGUGAAUAAAAAAAUGGAAAUUUCGAUGAGAUCCUCUUCUUCAAACAGAACCUGUGUGAAUGUGGGAACUAUUAGGCAUUUUGAUCAUGAGACAACCUCAUUCGUUGCUUAUGUGGAUGUUUUAAUUUCCCCAAUUGUUACCUGUCUUAUUUCAUGCUUUUCUGAAGUAUUAAAAUUUGGACUUGUGAUCAUAUUGCAUGGAAUACAAAAUGCUUCACUAACCUUGAUUCUGGAAUUUUCAUGUGAUGCUUUUCAAGGGGCUGUUAGAAGAGGCAGACCUAAGGCUGUUGCCUUCGAUGGAAUUGACAAGGCUCCAGAAGAGAAAAAGAGAGGAAUUACAAUUGCAACGAGAAGUUGAAAACACGGGAUUGACUGAGUUGUGUAAGUAGGACUGCAGGGGCUGAGAAGAUUUAUUUGUUUCUCUUCUUAUGGUUCGUGCUUCAGUCUAGAUGAAAUGUGGCUGUUCUUUGUUGUGGAGCAAAUUUCAGAGUUCUUUUUGCAAGGCUGAUAAUUUGUUGGGGGGUCUUCCUCUACGUCCAGGAGAGUAUCUCUCUGUGUUUUUUUUCCUUCCGACUCAUUUUGUGCGUGUGGCUUUCUGUCUUCAGUUUUGGGCCUUAUUUUUUGUUGUCUCUUAUCCAAUUUUCUCUGUUGUGGCUGCCCGCUUGUUUUGUCUGGAGAAGUUAAAAACAUGAGAUUGACCGAGCUGUGUAAGUAGGACUGCAGGGGCUGAGAUGAUUUAUUUGUUUCUCUUUGUAUGGUUCGUGCUUCAGUCUAGAUGAAAUGUGGCGGUUCUUUGUGUAAGUCUGUUCAUCUGCGUUUUGGUGGAAGUCUGUACGUUUUCUUCUUACAAGGCCCAGUCUUGUGUUUUAUGUCUUUUCUUGUUUUUUUUUUUGCCUAAUCGUUUUCUUUCUUUAAUCUAUUUUGAGGUCAAGUUUGGAGCAAAUUUAGUGUUUUUUUUUGCAAAGUUGAUUUGCGGGGUGCUUCAUCUAUGGCCGGGAGAGUAUCUCUCUGUGUUUUUUUUUUUCUUCCGACUCAUUUUGUGCGUGCGGUGUUCUGUCUUCAGUUUUGGGCCUUAUUUGUUGUCGUCUCUGAUCCAAUAUUCUCUGUUGUGGCUGCCUUGCGCUUGUUUUGUCUGGAGAAGUUGAAAAUAUGGGAUUGACUGAGCUGAGUAAAUAGGAGUGCAGGAGUUGAGAUGAUUUAUCUGUUUCUCUUCGUAUGGUUCGUGCUUUAGUCUAGAUUAAAUGUGGCUUAUCUUUGUGUAAGUCUAUUCAUCUGCUUUUUGGUGGAAGGUCUAUAUGUUCUGUUCUUAUGUGGCCCAGUCUUGGUUUUUUUUGCCUAAUUUUUUCUUUUCUUUAAAUUGUUUUGAAGUAAAGUUCGGAGCAAAUUUGAGUGUUCUUUUUGCAACGCUGGUAGUUUGCUGUUUGGAGGAAGGUCUCUAUGUUCUGUUCUUACUAGGCGUAGUUUUGUGUUUUUUGCCUAAUUCUUUUGGUUUCUUUAAUCUUUCUAUAGGUCAAGAAUGGAGUAAAUUUCAGUGUUCAUUUACUCUGGCAGAGACUAUUCUCAUUUGUGGUUGCCAUGCGCUUGUUUUGUCAAGAGAAAACACAAGAUUUACUUAUCAAAUAAAAGAAAACACAGGAUUGAUGGAGCUGAGUUAAUAAAAAUGCAAGAGAUGAAAUCAUUUGUUUCUUAUUCAUAUCAUUUGAGCUUCAGUCUAGUGAUGUGACGGUUCUUUUGAAAGGUUGUUCUUUUGCAGUUUUGAGGAAGUGUCUCUAUGUUCAGUUCUUACUAGGCUCACUGUUGUGUUUUCAAUCUUCUGUUAUUUUUGUUUUUGCAUAAUUUUAGUGUGCUACUGGCUCACUGCUUUCGAUGAAUUUGCCAAAAUGGGGGUUUUCCUUUUUCACAGAACCCUUCGUGCAUAGAUGCAAGCUUCCUAUCCAAAGAGACCUGAAACUAAAACCUCUGGAAUUCUUUCUGAACACAAACCAAUUUUGAUUUACUUUUAUUUUUCUCAUAUGUUUUUCUAUUUUCUCUUAUCGAUGAAAAAAGAAAUAUUUUUUUCUAUUUUCUCAAUCAGUGGCUUUCUGCUGUCUUGGCAGUAGGGGAGUUGUUUUGACAUGGCUGAUUGGGCUUAGCAGGGGAAUUACAUUUGCAAAGGAGAAGUUGAAAACAUGGAUUGACCAAGUAGAGUAAAUAGGACUGCAGGAGCUGAGAUGAUUUAUUUGUUUCGCUUUGUUUGGUUCGUGCUUUAGUCUAGGUGAAAUGUGGCUGUUCUUUGUGUAAGUUUGUUCAUCUGCAUUUUGGUGGAAGGUCUGUAUGUUCUGUUCUUACGAUGUGCAGUCUUGUGAUUUAUUGGUUCUUUUGCCUAAUUAUGUCAUUUCUGUAAUUGUUUUGAAGUCAUGUUUAGAGCAAAUUUGAGGGUUCUUUUUGCGAGGCUGAUCAUUAGCGGUUUGGAGGAAGGUCUCUAUGUUGUGUUCUUACUAGGCCCAGUUUUGUGCUUUUUGCCUAAUUCUUUUGGUUUCUUUAAUCUGUUUAGAGGUCAGGAACAGAGCAAAUUUGAGUGCUCAUUUACUCUGAGUAUUUGUCUGUGGGUUGAGAGUAUUUCUCUGUGGUUUUUUUCUUCCAACUCGUCUUGUGUGUGAUUUUGUCUCUUCAGUUUUUGGGCUUAUUUUAUGUUGUCUCCGAUCUGGUGUUCUCUGUAAUUGAUGCCAUGUGUUUGUUUUGUUUGGAAAAGUUAAAAAGACGGGAUGUACCGAGCUGGGAUUGACCAAGCUGAGUAAUGGAUGUGGACCAGGUUUUCUUUUCAUGCAAAUCUGUGGAUAGUAUAACAAAUUGGAAUUGGGUGAAUGUGGUUGCAGAACUCCCAUUGGCAUGUGUGCUUGAAAUUUCCUUUCCCAUGUCAUGUAUGUGCCGCAUAGUUACUGCACGUUCUUUGAUCCUUGUCUCUGUGUAACUCAAGUUGAUUUUGGGAUGCAUGGAAAGCUUAUUUUGUCAUAGUUUGGUCUUAUGAAAGGGUUGAUUUAGGGCGGCUGGUGUGGCACAGUCAAGACUUCCCCUUUUGUUUUGUUUUCUGAUUUAUAAAAGUUUUUUGAACUCUUGCUUCUUUGAAAAUCUUUACUCUGGUCAUUGCUAAAAGAACAGAUCGCAUUGUGAAGAGAACAAGUUUUUUUAAUGCGAAAUUUCCAUCCAGUCCUCGGGGGGAUUGUGCUUUGCUUACUUCUUGUUUGGCAUUUUCCUCUUUCCACUUCUACUGGAUCCACGUUCUUGGGAUAUGAUUUUAUCUUGUGCAGAGAGACUGAACAGCGCAUGAGUCGUGUCGAGAAGUUGAACGUCGAGGAUUGACCAAUGAAUAGACCUGCAUGAGAUGAGAUGAUUUGUUUUUGUCUCUUCGUAUGGUUUGAGCAUCAGUCUACAGCAAACGUGAAGGUUCCGUUUGCAAGGCCGUUCAUCUGCGUUUAGGUGGAAGGUCUUGAUGUUCUAUUAUUAUGAUGUGCACCGAGACAGUAAAAGAACAAGGAUGAUCAUUUGUGCGGGGAAAGGGGGGGGGGGUCCUUUGUCUACGGCCGGUUGAGAACACGGGAUUGACCGAGCUGAGUAAGUAGGACAGCAAGAGAUGAGAUGAGUUGUUUGUUUCUCUUCUUAUGGUUUGAGCUUCAGUCCGGAGGAAUCAUGACGGUUCUUUUUGCAUGGCUGGUCAUCUGCAGUUUGGAG